GAUCCACCUGCCCCAGCCUCCCAAAGUGCUGGGAUUACAGUAGAGAAGCUCUGCUGUGGCGAGUGUGGAGCAAGCUUCCCAAACCCUUUUUGGGUCAGGGUAGGUGGUUGUGGCCCGGUUGUUUGGCCUCAUAGUUUGACGUCUGCAGGCUACAGCCCUGCCCUGCUGCCUGCUGGAGGGGUGAGGGCCUGGCCACC
Sapajus apella (tufted capuchin) is the source of this 197-nucleotide long non-coding RNA. RefSeq lists it as uncharacterized. The transcript has 2 exons. The record is from RefSeq and is a predicted model, not a curated record. Lineage: Eukaryota; Metazoa; Chordata; Mammalia; Primates; Cebidae.